AUUAGUACCGAUGAGUGAAUUGAUAAACGAGCAAUGUACUGUCGUUUGGUGCACAUGUAUCUGACGCACUGUAAUAUGUACUGGCGAGUAAAUUUAGUACAAAAGAACCAAGUGCCCCUAUAAAUUACAUGUACAAAAGAAACAAAAUAUAUUAGGCAAAAAUUGAGAAAGAAAAUGUGAGUGGUAAAGAAAAACUCAAUGCGUGAUGCAUAGGGAGAGAGAGAG
Molecule: long non-coding RNA, 225 nt
Filed under: Brachypodium distachyon (stiff brome)
Lineage: Eukaryota; Viridiplantae; Streptophyta; Magnoliopsida; Poales; Poaceae
Description: long non-coding RNA (BDIS_LNC002647)
Source: RNAcentral